This 344-nucleotide ribosomal RNA is filed under the name Bacillus cereus. RNAcentral describes it as "bacterial SSU rRNA". It matches the Rfam family "Bacterial small subunit ribosomal RNA", at positions 1157 to 1500 of the family's 1533-position model. Lineage: Bacteria; Bacillati; Bacillota; Bacilli; Caryophanales; Bacillaceae. The record is from RNAcentral.
UUAAAUGGGAGGGGAAGUGGGGAUGACGUCAAAUCAUCAUGCCCCUUAUGACCUGGGCUACACACGUGCUACAAUGGACGGUACAAAGAGCUGCAAGACCGCGAGGUGGAGCUAAUUUCAUAAAACCGUUUUCAGUUCGGAUUGUAGGCUGCAACUCGCCUACAUGAAGCUGGAAUCGCUAGUAAUCGCGGAUCAGCAUGCCGCGGUGAAUACGUUCCCGGGCCUUGUACACACCGCCCGUCACACCACGAGAGUUUGUAACACCCGAAGUCGGUGGGGUAACCUUUUUGGAGCCAGCCGCCUAAGGUGGGACAGAUGAUUGGGGGAAGUCGUAACAAAGAGCC